UUCAUUAGGUUAUUCAUCUUAUUACAAUGCAGUUCCUCCUCCACCUUCUGCACCUGUCCCUAUAGUUGAUCAUGCACAGGGCAUCAGUAAUGGGCCCUGGGCCCCAAAUCCACCUGCGCCUCUGCCAGUUCCCUCUGCUUCAGAAAAGGCAACUUAUGGUACCGAUCCAGAGUAUGAGAAGUUCAUGGCAGAGAUGAAAUGAUGUGGCCUUUCUGGUAUUAGUUCCUGGUUCAGACUUCAGAGG
Molecule: unclassified non-coding RNA, 244 nt
Filed under: Hevea brasiliensis (rubber tree)
Lineage: Eukaryota; Viridiplantae; Streptophyta; Magnoliopsida; Malpighiales; Euphorbiaceae
Source: RNAcentral